This 305-nucleotide ribosomal RNA is filed under the name uncultured bacterium. Its description in RNAcentral is "bacterial SSU rRNA". It matches the Rfam family "Bacterial small subunit ribosomal RNA", at positions 335 to 638 of the family's 1533-position model. The record is from RNAcentral.
UGCCUACGGGGCGCAGCAGUGAGGAAUAUUGGUCAAUGGACGAGAUCCUGAACCAGCCAAGUCGCGUGAAGGAUGACUGCCCUAUGGGUUGUAAACUUCUUUUAUAUGGGAAUAAAGUUUUCCACGUGUGGCAUUUUGUAUGUACCAUAUGAAUAAGGAUCGGCUAACUCCGUGCCAGCAGCCGCGGUAAUACGGAGGAUCCGAGCGUUAUCCGGAUUUAUUGGGUUUAAAGGGAGCGUAGGCGGAUUGUUAAGUCAGUUGUGAAAGUUUGCGGCUCAACCCUAACAUUGCAGUUAAAACUGGCG